GGGGGCGAAUAUGGUUUCGACAUGAAUGUCAAAAUCUAAGGUUCAUGCCGAGGAAGUACCGUAACCUCGUUAAUAACAGUACAAAUGCCAAUAAUAACUGGCAACAAAAAAGCAAACCUCGUAGCGGCUAACGACAGCAACUUUGCUGCUGUUGCUAAAGCUGCCUAGUCUAGCUUAAUA
Molecule: transfer-messenger RNA, 180 nt
Filed under: Francisella tularensis subsp. holarctica
Lineage: Bacteria; Pseudomonadati; Pseudomonadota; Gammaproteobacteria; Thiotrichales; Francisellaceae
Description: partial transfer-messenger RNA
Rfam family: transfer-messenger RNA
About the family: Bacterial tmRNA, also known as 10Sa RNA or SsrA, is named for its dual tRNA and mRNA-like properties. Its role is to liberate the mRNA from a stalled ribosome.
Source: RNAcentral